GACGAACGCUGGCGGCGUGCCUAAUACAUGCAAGUAGAACGCACAGUUUAUACCGUAGCUUGCUACACCAUAGACUGUGAGUUGCGAACGGGUGAGUAACGCGUAGGUAACCUGCCUGGUAGCGGGGGAUAACUAUUGGAAACGAUAGCUAAUACCGCAUAAUAUUGAUUAUUGCAUGAUAAUUGAUUGAAAGAUGCUAUUGCAUCACUACCAGAUGGACCUGCGUUGUAUUAGCUAGUAGGUGAGGUAACGGCUCACCUAGGCGACGAUACAUAGCCGACCUGAGAGGGUGAUCGGCCACACUGGGACUGAGACACGGCCCAGACUCCUGCGGGAGGCAGCAGUAGGGAAUCUUCGGCAAUGGACGAAAGUCUGAACGAGCAACGCCGCGUGAGUGAAGAAGGUUGUCGGAUCGUAAAGCUCUGUUGUAAGAGAAGAACGGGUGUGAGAGUGGAAAGUUCACACUGUGACGGUAUCUUAACAGAAAGGGACGGCUAACUACGUG
Molecule: ribosomal RNA, 505 nt
Filed under: uncultured bacterium
Lineage: Bacteria
Description: partial 16S ribosomal RNA
Rfam family: Bacterial small subunit ribosomal RNA
Source: RNAcentral